RNAcentral lists this ribosomal RNA (454 nucleotides) under Escherichia coli. RNAcentral describes it as "bacterial SSU rRNA". It matches the Rfam family "Bacterial small subunit ribosomal RNA", at positions 1 to 451 of the family's 1533-position model. Lineage: Bacteria; Pseudomonadati; Pseudomonadota; Gammaproteobacteria; Enterobacterales; Enterobacteriaceae. The record is from RNAcentral. RNAcentral also lists the same sequence under 1 other name.
AAAUUGAAGAGUUUGAUCAUGGCUCAGAUUGAACGCUGGCGGCAGGCCUAACACAUGCAAGUCGAACGGUAACAGGAAGCAGCUUGCUGUUUCGCUGACGAGUGGCGGACGGGUGAGUAAUGUCUGGGAAACUGCCUGAUGGAGGGGGAUAACUACUGGAAACGGUAGCUAAUACCGCAUAACGUCGCAAGACCAAAGAGGGGGACCUUCGGGCCUCUUGCCAUCGGAUGUGCCCAGAUGGGAUUAGCUAGUAGGUGGGGUAACGGCUCACCUAGGCGACGAUCCCUAGCUGGUCUGAGAGGAUGACCAGCCACACUGGAACUGAGACACGGUCCAGACUCCUACGGGAGGCAGCAGUGGGGAAUAUUGCACAAUGGGCGCAAGCCUGAUGCAGCCAUGCCGCGUGUAUGAAGAAGGCCUUCGGGUUGUAAAGUACUUUCAGCGGGGAGGAAGG